CUCUUCUUGAAUAUAUUUUGAUGUAUGGCCUGCCCACUGAAUAUUGAAGGGCCGCGGUAUUUUGACCGUGCAAAGGUAGCAUAAUCAUUAGUCUUUUAAUUGUAGGCUGGAAUGAAUGGUUUGACGAGGUGUUAACUGUCUUUAAUUUUUUUUAUUGAAUUUAAAUUUUAGGUUAAAAUGCCUAAAUAUUUUUUUGGGACGAGAAGACCCUAUAGAGUUUUAUAUAUUUUUAUUUUUUUGUGUGUUAAUUUUUAAUGUAAAAAUUUAUUUUGUUGGGGUGAUGGGAAGAUUGAAUAAACUCUUUUUGUUUUAUUAUAUUUAUUUAUAUAUAUUUGAUCCAUUUUUAUUGAUUAUAAGACUAAAUUACC
This 368-nucleotide ribosomal RNA is filed under the name Cryptocercus wuxiensis. RNAcentral describes it as "partial 16S large subunit ribosomal RNA". Lineage: Eukaryota; Metazoa; Arthropoda; Insecta; Blattodea; Cryptocercidae. The record is from RNAcentral.